UCUCAAAGAAAUUGUAAGCAGUUUUUAUCUACUUCCUUGAUACACACAAAUGUUAUAUGGUUAUCUAAUUCAUGUACAUGGUAUAAAUAACUUGUCUCCUUUAAGUUUUACAUAGAUACGGAAGACAAAAAUAAGAUUUCACUAAAUCUCCUAGCUUCCUAAUAAUCAGAAUGGAAAGGAAUAGGGAAUGAAGAGGGCAGUAUAAUUUUUUUACCACAAAAAAAAAAAAAUCUAAUUUCAUGAAUCAAAAUAAAAUAAAAUCCUUAAAAUCAAACUUGUCAGAUGCACUACACAUUGAAAACAAUCAGAUUAAGAGGUAGAGAAGGCAGACUUUUUGGAUUGAGAUUUUCAUUAGUGCUCAAAGUGUUGAAAGUGAUGAUGAAACAGUCAACACCGAGAAGAAGUUCCAGCGAGAAGAUAAAACAACUCCUUUUAAGCCAUGGAUGGAAAUUUGAAUGAUAAUGCAUUUUUGCGGGCUCGGAUCAAAGAAUUGGAGCGUGGUCUCAGUCAUACAUUUGCAGAGCCCAACCUAAGGAUGCAUCAACUCUUUUUUUGUUUCUAUGUAAAUUAUAUGUACACUACUGUUUUGCAAAACAUGGCUCCUUAAUGUUCACACACACACACAUAUAUAUAUGUAUGUAUAUAUAUAAAAUGUGCGCUACAAGCUUGUUCUCCUGAGCUCAUUCAUAUUAAUUAAAACAUUCUA
Molecule: long non-coding RNA, 706 nt
Organism: Capsicum annuum
Lineage: Eukaryota; Viridiplantae; Streptophyta; Magnoliopsida; Solanales; Solanaceae
Exons: 3
Source: RefSeq, a predicted model, not a curated record